RNAcentral lists this ribosomal RNA (115 nucleotides) under Pteropus alecto (black flying fox). Lineage: Eukaryota; Metazoa; Chordata; Mammalia; Chiroptera; Pteropodidae. The record is from RNAcentral.
GUGUACCGCCACGCCACCCUGAACAAGCCCAAUGUCUGAUCUCAGAAGCUAAGAAGGGCUGGGCCUGGUUAGUACUGGAUGGGAGACCACCUAGGAAGACCAGGUGCUGUAGGCA